UUACCAGACUCCUACGGGAGGCAGCAGUGGGGAAUAUUGGGCAAUGGGCGAAAGCCUGACCCAGCAACGCCGCGUGAAGGAAGAAGGCUUUCGGGUUGUAAACUUCUUUUGACAGGGAAGAGCAGAAGACGGUACCUGUCGAAUAAGCCACGGCUAACUACGUGCCAGCAGCCGCGGUAAUACGUAGGGAGCAAGCGUUGUCCGGAAUUACUGGGCGUAAAGGGAGCGUAGACGGCGACGCAAGUCUGGAGUGAAAGCCCGGGGCCCAACCCCGGGACUGCUCUGGAAACUGCGUCGCUGGAGUACGGGAGGGGCAGGCGGAAUUCCUGGUGUAGCGGUGAAGUGCGUAGAUAUCAGGAGGAACACCGGUGGCGAAGGCGGCCUGCUGGACUGCAACUGACGUUGAGGCCCGAAAGCGUGGGGAGCAAACAGGAUUAGAUACCCGCGUAC
This 450-nucleotide ribosomal RNA is filed under the name uncultured bacterium. Its description in RNAcentral is "bacterial SSU rRNA". It matches the Rfam family "Bacterial small subunit ribosomal RNA", at positions 328 to 793 of the family's 1533-position model. The record is from RNAcentral.